UACGUAGGGGGCAAGCGUUGUCCGGAUUUACUGGGCGUAAAGAGCGUGUAGGCGGCCAAACAGGUCCGUUGUGAAAACUGGAGGCUCAACUUCCAGACGUCGACGGAAACCGUAUGGCUAGAGUCCGGAAGAGGAGAGUGGAAUUCCUGGUGUAGCGGUGAAAUGCGCAGAUAUCAGGAAGAACACCAAUGGCGAAGGCAGCUCUCUGGGACGGUACUGACGCUGAGACGCGAAAGCGUGGGGAGCGAACAGG
This 253-nucleotide ribosomal RNA is filed under the name uncultured bacterium. RNAcentral describes it as "partial 16S ribosomal RNA". It matches the Rfam family "Bacterial small subunit ribosomal RNA", at positions 524 to 776 of the family's 1533-position model. The record is from RNAcentral.